GGAGCUUGCUCUGUGGGAUCAGUGGCGAACGGGUGAGUAACACGUGAGCAACCUGCCCCUGACUCUGGGAUAAGCGCUGGAAACGGCGUCUAAUACUGGAUAUGUGACGUGACCGCAUGGUCUGCGUCUGGAAAGAAUUUCGGUUGGGGAUGGGCUCGCGGCCUAUCAGCUUGUUGGUGAGGUAAUGGCUCACCAAGGCGUCGACGGGUAGCCGGCCUGAGAGGGUGACCGGCCACACUGGGACUGAGACACGGCCCAGACUCCUACGGGAGGCAGCAGUGGGGAAUAUUGCACAAUGGGCGCAAGCCUGAUGCAGCAACGCCGCGUGAGGGACGACGGCCUUCGGGUUGUAAACCUCUUUUAGCAGGGAAGAAGCGAAAGUGACGGUACCUGCAGAAAAAGCGCCGGCUAACUACGUGCCAGCAGCCGCGGUAAUACGUAGGGCGCAAGCGUUAUCCGGAAUUAUUGGGCGUAAAGAGCUCGUAGGCGGUUUGUCGCGUCUGCUGUGAAAUCCGGAGGCUCAACCUCCGGCCUGCAGUGGGUACGGGCAGACUAGAGUGCGGUAGGGGAGAUUGGAAUUCCUGGUGUAGCGGUGGAAUGCGCAGAUAUCAGGAGGAACACCGAUGGCGAAGGCAGAUCUCUGGGCCGUAACUGACGCUGAGGAGCGAAAGGGUGGGGAGCAAACAGGCUUAGAUACCCUGGUAGUCCACCCCGUAAACGUUGGGAACUAGUUGUGGGGUCCAUUCCACGGAUUCCGUGACGCAGCUAACGCAUUAAGUUCCCCGCCUGGGGAGUACGGCCGCAAGGCUAAAACUCAAAGGAAUUGACGGGGACCCGCACAAGCGGCGGAGCAUGCGGAUUAAUUCGAUGCAACGCGAAGAACCUUACCAAGGCUUGACAUAUACGAGAACGGGCCAGAAAUGGUCAACUCUUUGGACACUCGUAAACAGGUGGUGCAUGGUUGUCGUCAGCUCGUGUCGUGAGAUGUUGGGUUAAGUCCCGCAACGAGCGCAACCCUCGUUCUAUGUUGCCAGCACGUAAUGGUGGGGAACUCAUGGGAUACUGCCCGGGGUCAACUCGGAGGAAGGUUGGGGAUGACGUCAAAUCAUCAUGCCCCU
This 1118-nucleotide ribosomal RNA is filed under the name marine bacterium AK6_012. Its description in RNAcentral is "bacterial SSU rRNA". It matches the Rfam family "Bacterial small subunit ribosomal RNA", at positions 75 to 1202 of the family's 1533-position model. The record is from RNAcentral.